CGCGUAGGUGGUGGUGAAAGUCUAUGGUGGAAUCUUAGGGCUUAACCCUAAAACUGCCUUGGAAACUUCAUUACUUGAGUCAGUGAGGGGAGGGUAGAAUUCCUGGUGUAGCGGUGAAAUGCGUAGAUAUCAGGAGGAAGGCCGGUGGCGAAGGCGGCCCUCUGGCGCUGAACUGACGCUGAGGCGCGAAAGCGUGGGUAGCAAACAGGAUUAGAUACCCUGGUAGUCCACGCCCUAAACGGUGGGUACUAGGUGUAGGGCUCGUAAGGGUUCUGUGCCGAAGGGAAACCAUUAAGUACCCCGCCUGGGGAGUACGGCCGCAAGGUUGAA
Molecule: ribosomal RNA, 330 nt
Filed under: uncultured bacterium
Lineage: Bacteria
Description: bacterial SSU rRNA
Rfam family: Bacterial small subunit ribosomal RNA
Source: RNAcentral